AUUGAACGCUGGCGGCAUGCCUUACACAUGCAAGUCGAACGGCAGCGGACCUUCGGGUGCCGGCGAGUGGCGAACGGGUGAGUAAUAUAUCGGAACGUACCUUUCAGUGGGGGAUAACGUAGCGAAAGUUACGCUAAUACCGCAUAUUCUGUGAGCAGGAAAGCAGGGGAUCGCAAGACCUUGCGCUGAUUGAGCGGCCGAUAUCAGAUUAGCUAGUUGGUGAGGUAAAGGCUCACCAAGGCGACGAUCUGUAGCGGGUCUGAGAGGAUGAUCCGCCACACUGGAACUGAGACACGGUCCAGACUCCUACGGGAGGCAGCAGUGGGGAAUUUUGGACAAUGGGCGCAAGCCUGAUCCAGCCAUGCCGCGUGAGUGAAGAAGGCCUGGUUGUAAAGUCGUCUUUCGUCCGGGAACGAAAGUACGACACAGGUUAAUAACCCUGUGUUGGAGUGACGGUACCGGAA
This 464-nucleotide ribosomal RNA is filed under the name uncultured bacterium. Its description in RNAcentral is "bacterial SSU rRNA". It matches the Rfam family "Bacterial small subunit ribosomal RNA", at positions 30 to 483 of the family's 1533-position model. The record is from RNAcentral.